Molecule: small RNA, 115 nt
Filed under: Epilithonimonas mollis
Lineage: Bacteria; Pseudomonadati; Bacteroidota; Flavobacteriia; Flavobacteriales; Weeksellaceae
Description: Chryseobacterium molle Flavo-1 RNA
Rfam family: Flavo-1 RNA
Source: RNAcentral
UACAAACCCGCGACAGGGAUAGUAGUGGAAAUCCUUUUGCUUUUGGUGCUUUUGUUUAAUUUGGAAAGACACAAGUUCUAAAAGCAAAAGAUUGCAACGGAUAGCCCGGUGACAA